GUCAGUACGGAGUUCAAUGUCAAUAUCAGAGGAACUGCAAUUGCCAUCGCACUACCGGGUUUCGCAAUCACAGUUUUUGGAUAUUCGGCUAACGCGCUAACGUAACAUAAUUUCCGUACGCGAUAUUUAUUAUUUCUAUUCCCGUUACUACCGUUUUCCGUCGCGUGUAUAUUAUUAUACAUUCACGGCAGUCGUUGUAUCUUGAAUAAAAAUAAAUUACGCGACAGUUUGUUUCGGCAUUUGUCGUCGGUUUAUAACAGUACACGUUAUACAUUAAAAUAAUAUCAAGGCGUCUUCGUAUCGUCCGUCCGACAUGUACCCGAACCCAUGGAUCAGAAAACACUCGACCAUCAGACAGGUGAUAGACAAGCUGUUGUCGAUCAACACGAACAAGACGAAGAAGUUUGACGCGAUGUUGAACAAGAAAAAGCACACCGGAAGUAACAGGACGACGACGACGGCGGCGGCGGCGGCGACGGCGGACAAGCGACGCAAACAUUAGCCUCGGCCGGGCGUAAAACGAAAUUCGAUCAGCGGUAUUUUUUUUCGCGCACGGCCGUGUAGAGUAACGCUACACUCGCUAUAAAAAAUGUGUCCGUCCGAAAAUGUUCCUACUUAUUUAUAAUGUAUUAUUGUAUUAUUGUAUCAUACCAUUUGUGACGCCAGAGAGACGCGCUGCGGCUCUUUCCACCGCCGAAAAAUCCGAAGAAUAUAAUUUAAUAUAUACCUAUAGCGUACAUAAUAUACGUUUACUUACGUUACGUACCCUCGUAUCGUGUUAAAACUAUAGUAUAGUAUUAUAUAGCUAUAUAGUAUAAAAUAAUCGUGGCUACAAACGAAGACACCGUGUUCAAUAUCAAUGAUAAAUAAUAGCUAUUAUAUAUAUGCCGAUUGUAAAUAUAUUUAUAUAAUAUGCCGUACAAGUAUACCACUACGUCUCACACGAGUUCACGAGCUAUUUGUUGGUCGUUCAGAUAUUUAAACAGUACAACGUCUGGAUUGAGAUAUAACCACAUCGUUAUAUUAUGUACUCACACGUUUUCUGUUGGUCCGCAUUACCGUAAAUUUAGUCAAAACGGAUUUGGACUACAUGUAUAAUAUCAUAAUCACCAUCAUUGUCAUCAUCAUCAUCAUCAUCAUCAUAUUAAACUGACGAUCGUGCAGGUUGAUUCGCGUUCCGUGGAAAAAUGAACGACACAUCAUCUACAGCUAUACGAUUUACGUCAAAACAGAUUAAAAUUGUAUUUAUUUAUACCGUUUGAUCAGAAAACCCAUUGGAAUUGCGAAUACUACUUGAAGAUGUAAACAACGACUUUUAAUUUAUACUGUUUUCGACGUACGUCCUUAUGGCAUUGUUUUAUUUUUAUUUUUACGUGUAAUAUUUGUAUUAUUUAAU
Molecule: long non-coding RNA, 1396 nt
Organism: Melanaphis sacchari
Lineage: Eukaryota; Metazoa; Arthropoda; Insecta; Hemiptera; Aphididae
Exons: 3
Source: RefSeq, a predicted model, not a curated record